Long non-coding RNA from Lepidothrix coronata (blue-crowned manakin), 240 nucleotides. RefSeq lists it as uncharacterized. The transcript has 3 exons. The record is from RefSeq and is a predicted model, not a curated record. Lineage: Eukaryota; Metazoa; Chordata; Aves; Passeriformes; Pipridae.
UCCAGUAGUUUGUUAUAUCCUCAUGAUGACAGGCAAAUGAAUCCUUCCAUGAAGGUGAGGAAUAAUAUAUCUGUGGGUUCUACAGCACUGGUGUAGCUAUGGGAAGCCAGCUGCCAAACAACAUAGCUGGAACAAAAAACCUCUUCCAUGCAGCCAAGCUAUGGGAAGAAGGGAAGAGCAGAAAGGGAGAGAAGAAAUUGGAGGCUAUCCCAAUCUAGAAGAUGAAGAAAGAAGACAUGC